This is an RNA transcript of Thunnus maccoyii (southern bluefin tuna), 4914 nucleotides long. RefSeq lists it as uncharacterized. Lineage: Eukaryota; Metazoa; Chordata; Actinopteri; Scombriformes; Scombridae. The record is from RefSeq and is a predicted model, not a curated record. The transcript has 6 exons.
AGGAGGAGAAUUCUGAUUAGGCUGCAUCCAAAAGCUGCCACCCACGGGACCCGGGGGAGAUAUGAAUUUGAAAAGACAGUGUAGUGCCGAUAUGAAGUGCCUGCAUUGCUGGGCAACAGGGACCCCUGUUAAGACCUGCUAUCCAGAGACCUGUCAGCAAAGAGACAGAGAGAGAGAGGGAAGGGGGUCUGCAUAUGAAAGCUGAAUGUGCAGCAACCCAGAUCCUUCAUUAAAGCAACUACAAGGAGUUUUGAACUGGUUAUUAAACGGUCUCAAAUUAAUACAGAUGCCUCUAUAUGACCCACAUAAGCAAACAAGACCAUCUGCGAGAAGAUUAGCUAAUUCUAUAUAGUUAUUCUAAAUGCCUGCCACCGGGUCAGAUUCCCUGCACAAUCAAACAAAAUGUGUCGUAUGUUAGUCAGUUAAAAGGAAGCAGGAGGAGAUUUUUCUUUAGAGAAUUUUAUUGACUUUAUAUUUUGUGGUUAUGACUGAUACUGGAGCAGGAUCAGCAAAGAGAAAAAGAAAAGAAUUGACAAAAGAGCAAAAAAAACGCUAAAAGGGACAGUGGGUAGAGCACGGGUGAAAACAUGUCAACCUUGAUUGGUCAUUCAACAGUUGGAGAGAAUCACAGGAUUUGAAAGGAUUCAAAACUGAUACUGAAUUCGCCUUCUUCCUCCUAGACAGGUAUGUAAUAUGUCUAUUUUAUUUAUAAAAUACAUUGCAAGAUGUGGUUUUACAUCAAUAUAUGAAUUUACGUUGGUGACUAAAACAAAGUUAGCUAACGCUAUGACUAACGUUAGUUGAAUGUAGCUAACGUUAGCUGCUACACUCAUGAAAUCAAUAUCCAGCCUGUUUUAAUUUCUAGUUAAAUAUGUAAGUGCAUGUGAUAAUAGCUUUUGUUAAACAGCAUGCUAAUUUGCCAUGGGAAUCAGUGUCACAGAUACACAUACAAGUAAUUCAUAAGGUUUUUUUUUUUAGUGUCUUCCUCCUUUUGAGUGGGGAAAGUGUUUUUUGUCUUUGAAGAUGGUGCAGCAAGGUUGCCUAAAAAUUUAUUAUUCCAUCAUUUCCCUCGAGAUGAUUGCUGGCAAAGAGACUCAGCUGUCUGAGGGAGAGGAUGGCAGGGGAAAAAUGCCAAAUACUCUUUAAAUGACCUUGAUGAUGGCUUGUUCUGGUGUGUUUCUGACUUAAACAGUAUUUUCCAGUUGUAUGACUCUGCAUACAUACACAUACUCAAACUGUAGUCAUUCUGUAAGUAAUAAAGAUGCAUUGUCUGUUUUUGCUCACUCCUUUAUUCACUGUCAUUCAGGAGUUGCUGGGGAAAUAUUUGCUGUAACUCUUGUGCAGGGUGGCUCAGCGCCAAGGUUUUUACAAGAUUGGUGCUACAAUUUCCUUUUGACUGGAAACCUAAAAAAACAUUACCAGAGAUGAUGUACAUGACCUGGAGUUUUCAUCGUUGAUCAAGAUGGUAUGUUGCACAACAAAUUAUUGUAUCCUCGAAAUAAUGGUCUCAUGGAUAUUAUGGACUCACUGCAUUCGGUGCCGCAGAUCCUGGCUGAAGAAACAUCAGACUUUUUAUCUUGGACUGAACAAAUUCUCUAUACUCAGACAAAAUAACAAGGUUUAUAUUACAUUAUGUUAUAUGGUUUAACAUAAAUUAUGGAGCAAGUAUCAUGUCACAUUUAUUUUUGCCCCAUGGGAAGGCUGGGUCAAGGGAUCACCCUGUCGGCCAGUCUGCCUGUCUGUCCAAUACGUAGCUCCAAGGAAACAUAUCAAAUCUAUUGCUAUGAAAUUUGGUGAGCACAUUCAUUCUCAUUGUGAACCCUGUUAAUACUGGUGAUCUCAUGACCUCUCCUUCAGUGCCACUCUCAGACCAAAAUGUCAGCUUUGCACACGAGAUAUCAUGAAGUGUAUUUGAUUGGUGUAUUUGGUGACCACAUUCAUACUCCCCAAAGGAAGAUUUCUCCUAAUCGUGGUGACCUCAUGACAUUUGCUCUAGCGCCACCCUCAGGCCAAACAUUUGACUUGAACAAAUCUCUAAAUUUAGCAAAGUGAUUUGGAUUCCAUGGCAUUAUACAGUCAUGAAGUGUCUUGAAAGUCUAUUAAAUAUGAAAAAGCUUUCCAAACCUGAAAGUUUUGGAAUGCAAAUAUAUGUUGUAUUUCAUUAACAUCACCAAAAUUAUAUAAUACUAAAUGGCUAUAUAAUGUAUUAGAAAAUCAGAAUCUAAUGAAUGGAAUACCAAGGAGGAAUCGUGUAAUUACUUCUCUUGUAUCUCUCUGCCUCUUAUUUAUGCCUCAUCUCAGCUCUGCCCUGCAUCCUUUACCCUCCCUCUACUUCCUAAAAAUUACAGUCAUUGAAAAUAAUUAAAUUAAAAUAAUUACAUAAAAGUUUCAGAAUGUAGCUUUAGCGAAAGUUCAGUCAGGAAGACUAUCUUUUGCAUGCUCAGGUCUGUAGUUUUAUUUCUCAAACCAUCUAUCAUUCCCAUCCCUCACACAUGCUCGCUCAUAAUUUCCUUCCUGUCAUUACCCAGGGUGUCAAUUAAGACUUCAGCUUUUCACAUCAGCUGGUCACAUCUAACCAAUAGCACGGUGACACAGCUUCCUUGUCAGCCUUGUCAUCAUGUCUUUUUAAAUAUACUUUCUCCUUCUCUGCCUUAGUGCUUUCCUGUUGCCGUUAUGCGCACCCCACCAACUCCCCAUCACCGCCUAGUCUUUGCAGAUUCAUCAGUGCAUCACUUCAUCCACCUCAUCAACCUUAUCAGUCUCAGCAGAAGUCAUCAGCUGCCAACACCACCAGUGUCUGGACUCCAUGGGAGGGAUUUAUCUUGCUGCUGCUCGGGACUGAUGUCCCUCGAUUCAAAAUCUCCCUGCAGAGUCUAAGCGCCAAAGACUUUUGACAAGACUUAAUCAUCAGUAUCAUCUGUAUAAUAUAUAAUUGUUUUUGCUUCAUUCACUUGUCUCUCCUGAUUGAAAUAAAUGUGGGAACCCUGUACAUGACAUCUGUUUUUCUCUUGUAUCCAUAUGAAGAACAAUUCUGCUGCACUGAGCUGCAAGACGAAGUGUCAUGCUAAGGCAACUUCAUGAGGGACUGCAACUUUACAGCCCGAUAGGUGUCAUGGAAAGGAACAGAGCGCUUUUCCAUGGCCUCUUUGUGGCUGGCUAUAAUGAUAAGUGGACUUCAUUGUGAUGCACUUGGCCCCAGUGAUGAGUGAAAGUGGUACACAGAAGCAUGCAAGAGAGGCACAAAUCCUAAAUAACUCCCUGGAUUUCCUGCAAGAGCUUGAGGGCAAGUGUUUAAACCAUAAGCAGAAACUGGGAGAUAAAUCUGGUAUGCAAGCCAGCAUGCUUUCCUGGCUAUUCUGACCCACAAUCCUUGGCAGAGCGGAAGACAGGUCAGAUCGACUGAGCCAUCGAGAGAGCACAGACAGAUGGCAGCGCAUUGACAGUGCAAUGACGGAAGCCAGUGCAACAACACGACAAUGCAACUCCUCUGUGAUCUAUUCCCCUUAGAUAAUGUGGCAUGGCGUUCUACACCACGGAAGGGGCAAGCACCAGUGGUCUUUUGGCAGCUGUGACCAAUGGUCCACUUGAUGAGGGCAGUAGAGAUAAGCCAUGGAUGGUGCAAGGCUCUAGCAGCGAUCGUCCUGGAUAAACGAUGGCUCAAGGAUGUCAAGGAGUUUAUCAACUUUUGCACAGCAUCAGCAGUGUUUCAAAACCUCAUACUCAUGCAAGCUGGAAAGCGCUUUGCAUACGGCCCACCGGUGUAUGAGGUACACACUCUUCUCACAGCAACAGACUAUAACCACCAGAACCACCAGCCUGCUUCACAGAACUCUGAGGGCAACAGGAUGAACCAAACGGGCGGUCGUGUGGAUGAAGUGAAAGACAACGUUUUAAUUGAGUUGACGACAACUGUGCUCGUCAUGAGUAAAAAGCCAAUAAGUACUUUAUCAAACCACCUGUUCAACAAGCAUAAACAUGUAGAAAAGCGAUAUUUUCAACUGCUUUGCCUACAAUGUCCCGUCCACCACCGGUAUGUUUUACACAACCACAGUGCGCUAGUUAAGCUACUAACACGAAAGCUGUCUGUAUGUAGCUUAACUGUUUAUUUAAGUUUGUCAUGUAUCUUAAAAUUUGUCAGAUUCUUGUAAACUUUGCUGCUGACUGAGAUGAACCAGCCCCUCCCUCCUCCUCUCUACUAGCGGUACCUGCAGGCAGUGAAUCACAUCAGCAGCAGAGGGAGGAGGACGGAGGACAGGAGGAAAGACUGCCUGCGCAGAGAGCAGCUGUGCACAUACCCCUUGAAUCAAGUUGUGGUGACAGAUGGGUUGAAAUUGUAGCUAUGUCAUGUGUGGACUGUGUGUGUAGACUGUGCUUCAUAGACGAUGUGGCAACUUGGGUAAUGUCAGACAAACAUACAAAACUUAUCUAUCUGUGUGUAUGACGAUUAUUCAUAAUAAAGCUUGAGGGUCAUGCAAAUUACGGGAGUUUCCUGGGAGAAACAGUGAAACAGGAGCACAGCGGGAGAUGGGGUGAAAAUACAGGAGAAACCCAGGAAGAACAGGAGUGUUAUAUUAUUUACUCACUGCAGAAUUGCCUCAAUUCAUGACAACUGAGAUGGAGGUAUAUAUAUUUCAUCAUAACUGAGCAGCAAAGGUUGGAUAUUGCCUAACGAGCAUAAUCUAUUUUGCAAGUGUGGCCGCUGUGUGAUUUUCAUCACACAGAGAAUACCCCAAUUCUAAAUGAUACUAUUCAUAAGAAUAACGGCACAUUUGGUCAGUAAUGAGUCCUAAGCCAUCACAAAAAUGACAGAAUAACUCCCCCGACAAUUCAGGGAAUGGAAAGUACUUCCAUCAUAUUGAAGAUGGCAUGACAGAUUUGCCUCUGUUGUGAAGAGUUGUAAAUCUUGAAUAAUAA